This 4086-nucleotide unclassified non-coding RNA is filed under the name Hevea brasiliensis (rubber tree). The record is from RNAcentral. Lineage: Eukaryota; Viridiplantae; Streptophyta; Magnoliopsida; Malpighiales; Euphorbiaceae.
GAAAAUAUUACUUCGUAUUAUCUAAAAUUAUAAAGCAGAUGGCAAGCUAUCAAACAAUAAAUUCUUCACCUGCAGUGAAGUUUCAUUGCAAUUUUUUAGGCAUAAAAGUAAAUCAUAUAUUUUCAGGGAAAAACAACACAUUUCUAUUCUCUUGUAUAGAUGUUACCGUCCAAAAUACAAAGCCAACUCUUCUAAGCUCCUGGAAUACCCUUUCCUUAAUAAAAAGGAUGCCAAAACUUUCAGCUAUCGGACCACCCCUAAAACAUUUGCUGUUUUAGGUGAAACCUUGGAGUCGGAUUUGUCCUCAGAAAACAAUUUUGUUGUCGCAUCACAAGUCUUUAGUUUCUCGCAUCACAAAACGCCAAAGAUCUCUGUCAGUCUUGAAUUUGCACUUUACAGGUAUAGGUAACUUCUUCAAUUGCAAAUAUCAUCUGACGCCACCAAGCGGCAACUGGGCAACUGAACAACGAUCAAGUAUAUUGUGUUAGUUACGAACACUUACGUGACUGUUUCAUGUCAUUUACCUGGCACCAAUCAUCAUGUUUCUUAUAUCAUAAUAAGGAUUAUGAUGGAGCAGGGAACAUUGAAGAACCAGCAGUUAAAGAGCAAUAACACUGCAGGAGAUCAACUACACUGUAGCUAAAUCAUGCAAAGCCAUCUCAUUCCAGGAAUAAGAAAACAUACUCGUGAAGACGCUUUUCUUGAUGGAGAGCCAAGGCAUGUAACAGUUGCAAGCCAUCUCCAAGUAGAGUCUUCCAGUGAUAAAGUGCACCACCAUAACACCAGGCACUAGCCCAGAAAUGAACUAGAGCCCAUCAUUUAUCGGAUAAUUUAUGGCUCCAUACCAACAAAUGCAUGCUUGUAUUUCCUCCGAAAGAAAUUCAAAUGUUAUUGCUAAUUCUCAUUGUUGACAAAUAGCAUGGGUGAGUCUGGUCAUCCCACCAUAGACAUUAUAAACACCAUAUAAUAACCAACAGAAAUCAAGUUGUAGAAGUUUAUCCAGAAGACUUGAUGAUGGUCAUGUAUACUCCUGUCCCUUUGCUCCAUCUAUGCCAAAUCAUCCAUUAACUCUUGCCUUGCUUAUACAUUAUGACAGACUCCGCCCACCUUUCUGUCUCCUUCUAGUGCUAUUCAAGUAUGCUGACCAGUAUCCACUAAUACCAUCUUAACCAAAGCACUCAACUUUCCAUCACGACCAGUGGGAAAAUAAAUCCAUUGCCACAAAAUGUUGCAAAAGAUCCUUGCAAACCAUAAGAACUAAAGUCCUGGAAACUUAUCUGCAAAUCAAAAUUUCAGGAUCCACUAAAACCAUUUUCAAUCAGUUUAUGUGGAUCCAAACUUGUCUUCCUGUUAGGUGUACUUCUACGAAAAUAGUCAUAUGUAAUAUACAUAAGGGAGUCCAGAAACAGGCUCUUUGCAGAGGUUGCUCUUAAUAGUUCUACUUUGUUUUGCAACUUAAGGUAGGCUUUAUCCAUAAUUUUAUACGAAACUUUGUCGAAAGCAAAGGAGAUCUCGCUUAACUUCUGACCCCAAAUUAAAGUUUUCUCAGGCAUCCCUUGCUUGCAAAAGUGAGACAGUAGUAAAUUGGUUGUAACAACAUUUGGAACAAAAGCCAUCUUAAGCAAUUUCGCAGUUAAAAUCAUAGCACGAUCCAGUAUGUCAGUACAAACAAUAUUCAUCAUGGUGUUGUAUGUUACCGUGUCUGGGACAACACCCACUGAAAUAAGGUCAUCCAGUAUCAUCACAGCCUUACUUGUUUUUCGAGUACUAUAAAGUCCAUGAAUACAUAUAUUAUAGGUGGUGAUAUCUGGGCCCCAUCCACUAGCAUACAUUUUAUUCAAAAACUCAUCCGCACCAACCAUGUCAAAUGCUUUACAGUACCCACCAAUCAAUGUGUUAUAAGUGACAAUAUCAGGGGUUAGCCCAAUACGAUGCAUGUCUGCAAAGACUUCAAUUGCAGACUUCAUUCUGCCCUCUUUACAAAAUCCAUUAAUGAUGAUAUUGAUUGUAAAAAUAUCAGGAAGCAGACCCUUUUGCCUCAUCUCCCUCUCCAGCUUCAAUGCUUCAUGAAGCUUACCACAGUUGCAAAAUCCAUGGAUCAACGAGUUAUAUGCAUAAUUGUUAGCCACAAACCCUUUCCUUGACAUAUCUAAAAAUACGUCAUAUGCCUCCUCCACUAGACCAGCUUUGGAAAGGCCAUCAAUAAAUGCUGAGAUGGCAACAGCAUCAGGAUAUAUCCCCCUGGCUUCCAUCUCAUACCACAGACUAUGUGCCGCAAUAAUAUCCCCCGCCUUGAAGUACCCAUCCAAAAGCACUGUAAAAGCCACUUUAUUUAUGGGAAAGCAUUUCUCUAUCAUCUUAUACAAGAGUUCCCGUGCUUCUUGCAGUCUCCCAUUCUUGGAUAAACCCAGAAGCAAAGAACUGCAAGUUGAAGAUGAGGGAACUAGACCAAACAUAACCAUGACUUUAUAUGCUUUAUUGGCAUUCUCUUCUAAUCCUGCCUGGCUAUAAGCUGCAAUUACUGAAUUAAAAGCAAUUACACUUAGAGGUAUUCCUUUCUCAAGCAUAUCCUCUAAAAAUUCCAUGGCCUCAUCCAACCGACCAGCCCAACACAACCCCGCAACAGAAAUAUCAUAUAAUGAACAAUCUGGAACCAAACCUCGAACUGAUAAAUCCCUCAACAACCUGAGACUAUCCUCUUCUCUCCCAUACUUGCAAUGCCCUGCAAACAAUAUAUUAAAAGUUGUGCCAUCAGGAGCUAUACCCCUGUUCCUCAUUUCUUCAUACAGGAUGUUUGCUUGACCAACGUCCCUUGCCUUAACAUAUCCAUUCAUUAGAGUGUUAUACAUUCCAACAUUUGGAGAAACACCCACCUCUUGGAUCUCGUCAAAAAUCUUCCUUGCUUCCUUCACAUUUCCCUGUUUGCAGAAUGCGUUUAUUACAGUGUUGAAUGUAAUUAAGCUCGGUUUACAACCAUUCUUAAUCAUCAAAUGCACCAACCCAAGAGCAUCUGAAGUCCUUCCACUCAUACAAUAAGCACUAAUCAAAAUGUUAUAUGUAUAAACAUCUGGUUCACAACUAAACUUUUGCAUAACAUAUAACAAACUCUCACCAAUCCUGGCAUAUCCUUUUCGACAAAAAGAAAGAAUCAUUACAUUGAAAUUACUAUUGCAAGGGCGAGGACCUUCACGAAUCAUGCCCCUCAAAAGCUUCCAAACACUACCAUAAUCACCCACUCUAAGCAACAACCUGAAAAGAAUUGUUAUUGCUGACAAACUUGGCCUCACGUCCACCUCCCUCAUCCUACCCACAAUAUCAAGUGCCUCGUAAACCAUCUGCACAUUCAAAAAACCCCGCAUAAGAGUAUUGAGGACUGAGAAAUCCGACUCAUAUUCAUAGUGAUUGGCCCACAUAAACUCCACCAACUCUGUACUCCUGCUAGCCCCGAUUCUCACAAUAACCCAAGAAAUUACAUCUUGUGCGAGGAGCUGAAGAUUCUCGGCAGCCAAGACAUGCGCGGCGAUGCAACAUGACUUAACUGUAGUAUCGGAGUCGUUUUGAAAUGCGAAUUUGAAAAAUGCAAAUGCAGAAUGACGGGAUUUGAAUAGUUUCAUGAUAUUCACUAGCAAAUAAGGGCAAAAUUUAAGGGAAAAUCCCUUCAAAAUGUAUCCUUUCCGUUGUUUGAUUAGUUUAGAUAAUCCGACAACUAUUAAUCGACGGUCAUUCGAAUUUAAAGAGCUCAAAUAAUCAUAAUUGGGAAAAUUAAAAGGAGAAAACUGAUAAAAAAAAUCGAAGGUUUUAAAAUUGGACGAGUGAGAGGAAUAAGAAUUGGAUGGAGAGAAAUGAAGGUUUAGGGUUUUAGGGACGUAAAUGACAUUGAAAAGGGAAAAAGCCUGUGAGUGGGUAAGGAAAUGGAAAGAAUAUUGUACCUUGAGGGAAUUACCCAGACGGAACACUUUAGCAGACAUCCGGCGCCGCUGGAGAGUGGCUGAAGAAUUUUGCGUUUGGAGGGAAGAGUCAGCAGCGGCGCAUUGUCUCAUGAAGAGAGAGCUGUAGAUGGUGGCAAGGGAUUGGACCAGAGUGAUU